RNAcentral lists this transfer RNA (57 nucleotides) under Ailuropoda melanoleuca (giant panda). It matches the Rfam family "tRNA", at positions 9 to 63 of the family's 71-position model. Rfam says of the family: Transfer RNA (tRNA) molecules are approximately 80 nucleotides in length. Their secondary structure includes four short double-helical elements and three loops (D, anti-codon, and T loops). Further hydrogen bonds mediate the characteristic L-shaped molecular structure. tRNAs have two regions of fundamental functional importance: the anti-codon, which is responsible for specific mRNA codon recognition, and the 3' end, to which the tRNAs corresponding amino acid is attached (by aminoacyl-tRNA synthetases). tRNAs cope with the degeneracy of the genetic code in two manners: having more than one tRNA (with a specific anti-codon) for a particular amino acid; and 'wobble' base-pairing, i.e. permitting non-standard base-pairing at the 3rd anti-codon position. Lineage: Eukaryota; Metazoa; Chordata; Mammalia; Carnivora; Ursidae. The record is from Rfam by way of RNAcentral.
GGCUCAGCCAGUAGAGCAUGUGACUCUUGAUCUCAAGAUUGUGGGUUCGAGCCCCAU